UGUGGAUAUGCACUCAGAGUAACAUCGCAAACAUAUUAUUCACCUGAGUACACAACACCAACACAGAAAAAUUCAUAUUACUAGAACACAUUGGUAUUGAAGGAACUAGAUACUGUUCCGAAAUAUCGCUUACUCGAACCGUCCUGACCGCGUAGCUCAGUUGGAAGAGCAUUGGGCUGGUAUUCCAAAGGUCGUAGGUUCGAAUCCCACCAUGGCCGGGCAUAUUUUUCAAGCUCGCCCGGUGUGGAUAUACACUCAGAGU
RNAcentral lists this transfer RNA (262 nucleotides) under Paramuricea clavata. The stretch from base 146 to 218 matches the Rfam family "tRNA". The record is from RNAcentral. Lineage: Eukaryota; Metazoa; Cnidaria; Anthozoa; Malacalcyonacea; Plexauridae.